GCGAAAAAGGUUUAAAAAUUUACAAACACUUUAAUUAUCGGUUAGGUCGGCAAAAAUCCUCUUAGCUAUAUCCUCCCCGCGGGUGCCGACUGGGCAAUGGGCGUCGCUGCUGUCACCGCGAUGGCUUAGCACCUAGGCUAGUACCUAGAGCGGGUCUUGGCGGUGCGAGCAGGCGGCGUCUAGCGAAAGCAGGAGUAUGUAUCCAUCCUUCUCUUCCUAGUGCUAUGCUCUGCUCUGCUCUGCAUAUGAAACUGGUGGAGGGGGGUGUAUGCCUACUUCUGCCAUUGCUAACGAGGUACCUGGCGGUAGGUAUAAAACGCUAGGGGUAGAGGUUCCCUGACACAAAAACUCACCAUGGAGGCUAGAAAAGAAGAAGAACGGGCUGGGAUAUCAGCCCAAACGUCGGUGGGAGAAGUGGCUACUAUCACCGGCGGGCACAGCGAUUCUACUCGCUGUGUCGCCAGCGGCCACACCUCUGGUGUGGAGGGAGCGGUUCACAGCGGUUGUAGUGCUACCGCCAAACCGACGCUACAGCGCAUGGGUGCCACAGUCCACGAAGACUCGGACCUCGAAAGCGUUACCACCCAAGAGGAAGAAGCCCUGCUACGCUCUCCGGGGUAUGCCAAAGGUGCUUGUUCGGCAUCAAAGAAAAGGCCUAGGGCAAACCCCAGUAGGGAGGGGUUGAAGGCUAAAGCCAUAUACAAGGCGGCGGUCAAAGUCCACGAGAGACUUAGCUGCAAGUCCAACCGUACGAAGGAAGAGAAGGAAAGGUUGGCUUGUGCUAAGGGGAAAAUGGAGGAAGGCCGGGCGUACUACGCAGCAAGGCCACGAUUCAAUGCCACGGACCCGGGAUUCGCAAACCGGAUCGAGGAAGGAAUCGCGGCUAAAAGGCAGCGGUCUGCUGAAAGCGAGAUAGCAAGGCCGUCCAAGAGAUCGAAGCGCAAAGACGACGCUGCAAAGCCAAACGCCAGGCACGAUCAAGAGAAAGCGACAACAUCGAGAGCGACGGCAACGGCCAGUGAGAUAGCCAGGAGACAUCUAAUCGUGGCACUCAUAGACCGUAGCAAUCCGCUGGCAGAAAUGUCUCAGGAGCGCUGUGGAGCAGUGGAGGUAAAGCUGUUGGAUGCGCUCGUCGAGAAAAUGGAUGGGGACCCUAACACGACCAUGCCAACUUUCGAUGGUGCGGGGUGGCUAAACGGGGUUAAAAUACUAAAGUGCAAGGACGAUCCAACUCUACUAUGGGUAAAGGAAGCUGUCGCGACGCUUCAAGGCCUGUGGGAGGGCGCCGUCUUGUAGGUUGUGGACCGCAGCUGCAUACCGUCCAUACCGAAAGCGAAGGUGCUCAUACCCCGCACGGUAAAGCCGGAGAAUGCGCUGCGGCUUCUGCAGAGACAGAAUCCAGACGUGCCGACGGGAGAUUGGAGGGUGUUAAAGGUCACCAACUCCGGUAAGGAGGAUGGCAGCCAAAACUACAUCCUCCAAAUAAAUAAGCCGGACGAAGACAUAUUGUACGCUAGGUUCGGGAAGAUAGCGUGGGGCGUAGGUAGCGUAUACCUUCGCCUGAAGAAGCGAAACCUGGCCGAUAAGAAUGAGAACACGUUGGAGGAGCGAGAGGUUGAGGAGGAUCUGGGAGAGAUCCUGGAGGCCACCUUGAAACUCCAGGAUACCAAGAAGGGUGAACCGGAGACUCUACCCGACCCCGAGAAGAAUCCUGAUCCUUGCAGUGAAGGUUCUUCAGAUAAACUUGCAUAAAAGCAAGGUCGGCUCUGCCGAGCUCCUCGUCAAUUUAGAGAGGAUCGGCUACGAUGCGGCGUUAGUCCAGGAGCCAUGGAUAGCAUCGGGAAACGUGGUAUCUGGACUAAAGUCGCAAACAUACUACACGCACAUCCCGAGUGCAACAAAUAAGACGACCUGACGGUGGUAGCUGUGAAGGAUGGCAAGGAUGACACAAUACUCCUUGCAUCUUGUUACAUGCCUCACGACGAGGAGGCGCCACCAAACGGACUCCGGAGGUUGGUGGCAGAGGCCGAGAAGGCGAAACGUCCACUCGUCAUAGGCGCGGAUGACAAUGCGCACAAUACGGUAUGGGGGAGUGGAGAUACCAACGAAAGGGUCGCUGAACCGUUCGCCAAAAACGAUUUCCUCUGCUUCAAUGCUCACCAGAGACGAUUAUGAGCCCACCAUUUCAACAUUUAAGGAUAUUUCCCGUGAGGCCUGCAUUGAAGGACUUACCAUUUCAUCAUUUAACAAAUGAGAAAUGAGUAAGACUUUUGAAACUAGACGCAAUCGGGAUUUUACGGAAAGAUUUUUCAAAAACCGGGCAUCACUUUUCAUUCCCUAUGUAUGGACAACCAGAAAAAUGUACAGCGUGGAAUUGCGAAAUCGCUACGUCGUACUACAUAUCAAACAGAUGCCACCCUUGACGUUGUGCGUCGUGGAUAUUGGUUUUGCUCAAUAGGCCGACUGUUACCUACAUUGCCUUCGCAAUUUCCGCACCGUUUGUCGCAGUGGACCUGUACAAUAUUUCCUGGAUAGUAUAUAAAACUACGUGUUGAUUACUAAAUUGGUAUUGGCGGCUGCCGCUACAAAAAUGUAUAAAUUUUUAUUUUAAUAACUAAUUGUUAAAUUUGUUGAAUAGUCCUACCAAAUCUUUAAUACAACGCUUUCCACAAGAAUAUAAAAAUUUAUUGUAAUAACUGAUUGUAAAAUUUGCUGAGUAGUCAUACUAAAGUAGUGAUUCAAUAUCAAUAUUAAGGAAUCUUUAAU
This 2766-nucleotide unclassified non-coding RNA is filed under the name Rhagoletis pomonella (apple maggot). RNAcentral describes it as "uncharacterized LOC118749853, transcript variant X2". The record is from RNAcentral. Lineage: Eukaryota; Metazoa; Arthropoda; Insecta; Diptera; Tephritidae.